UACGUAGGGCGCAAGCGUUAUCCGGAAUUAUUGGGCGUAAAGAGCUCGUAGGCGGUUUGUCGCGUCUGCCGUGAAAGUCCGGGGCUCAACUCCGGAUCUGCGGUGGGUACGGGCAGACUAGAGUGAUGUAGGGGAGACUGGAAUUCCGGGUGUAGCGGUGAAAUGCGUAGAUAUCCGGAGGAACACCGGUGGCGAAGGCGGCUCUCUGGUCCACAACUGACGCUGAGGUGCGAAAGCUAGGGGAGCAAACGGG
Molecule: ribosomal RNA, 253 nt
Filed under: uncultured bacterium
Lineage: Bacteria
Description: partial 16S ribosomal RNA
Rfam family: Bacterial small subunit ribosomal RNA
Source: RNAcentral